AGUAGGAUAAAAUCGUGUUGGAGUGGAGUUCUGUGUGAGCGCUGUCUUUGAACCAAAUCAGUUCCACAACUGACCCUGUCAGGGACAUAUAAAUUUAGCAUUUCGGUGUGGAUACAGAAGACGAGAUUAACACAGAUCAAGUAACAUGGAAAUAAAAAAGGAGACAAUGCUGGAUGAUACGGGGGCAGCCAACAAGAAGAGAAAACCCAAGCAUUGGCAAACCCCUCAUUAUCCAAAGAACACUGGGCCUCAGAGUAUGUCAGCUGGGGUCAGACGGGAACAGGAGGCUGGCUCAACACACAUUUAUUGCACUCCUGCUUCAUGCCAAGAAAUGCACCAAAAUCUGGAAUUGUGUAACACAGCAAAGGAAAAGACUCAUCUCCAGGAAGCCCCCUUGUCUAGGAAGAGAAAUUGAAUAUCAGCAUAAGGUGGUGAAAAGCUGUGAAGGAGAUGAGUGCCACAAGUCCAUGGAGGAAGGAUUCUAGCCUGGACAGGUGAUAGUGGUGAAUAGUCAUGAGAAUCCGGGAACUGGCUCCUGCUCUGUCUAUCUUGGAGAUGCAUCUUUUGUGAGAGGCCAGGGCAAGAAUAGGGAGGCUUAGGCAAUGGGGAGUUUCUGAGUAGAUAAAGCAGAUGGCAG
This 637-nucleotide long non-coding RNA is filed under the name Pongo abelii (Sumatran orangutan). Its description in RNAcentral is "lincRNA". The record is from RNAcentral. Lineage: Eukaryota; Metazoa; Chordata; Mammalia; Primates; Hominidae.